UAGGGAAUCUUCGGCAAUGGACGAAAGUCUGACCGAGCAACGCCGCGUGAGUGAAGAAGGCUUUCGGAUCGUAAAACUCUGUUGUUAGAGAAGAACAAGGACGUUAGUAACUGAACGUCCCCUGACGGUAUCUAACCAGAAAGCCACGGCUAACUACGUGCCAGCAGCCGCGGUAAUACGUAGGUGGCAAGCGUUGUCCGGAUUUAUUGGGCGUAAAGCGAGCGCAGGCGGUUUCUUAAGUCUGAUGUGAAAGACCCCGGCUCAACCGGGGAGGGUGAUUGGAAACUGGGAGGCUUGAGUGCGGAAGAGGAGGGUGGAAUUCCGUGGGGAGCAGUGAAAUGCGUAGAUAUAUGGAGGAACACCGGGGGCGAAGGCAGCUCUCUGGGCAGUAACUGACGCUGAGGCUAGAAAGCGUGGGGAGCAAACAGG
This 429-nucleotide ribosomal RNA is filed under the name Gemmatimonadota bacterium. RNAcentral's name for it is "Gemmatimonadetes bacterium partial 16S ribosomal RNA". It matches the Rfam family "Bacterial small subunit ribosomal RNA", at positions 355 to 776 of the family's 1533-position model. Lineage: Bacteria; Pseudomonadati; Gemmatimonadota. The record is from RNAcentral.